CAGUCGCCGCGGGAAUACGAAGGGGGCUAGCGUUGUUCGGAAUUACUGGGCGUAAAGCGCACGUAGGCGGAUCGAUCAGUCAGGGGUGAAAUCCCAGGGCUCAACCCUGGAACUGCCUUUGAUACUGUCGAUCUGGAGUAUGGAAGAGGUGAGUGGAAUUCCGAGUGUAGAGGUGAAAUUCGUAGAUAUUCGGAGGAACACCAGUGGCGAAGGCGGCUCACUGGUCCAUUACUGACGCUGAGGUGCGAAAGCGUGGGGAGCAAACAGGAUUAGAUACCCCGGUAGUCCCUGUCUCUUAUAC
This 301-nucleotide ribosomal RNA is filed under the name uncultured bacterium. RNAcentral's name for it is "partial 16S ribosomal RNA". It matches the Rfam family "Bacterial small subunit ribosomal RNA", at positions 509 to 807 of the family's 1533-position model. The record is from RNAcentral.